RNAcentral lists this transfer RNA (73 nucleotides) under Thermoleophilia bacterium. Its description in RNAcentral is "tRNA-Val". It matches the Rfam family "tRNA". From Rfam's summary of the family: Transfer RNA (tRNA) molecules are approximately 80 nucleotides in length. Their secondary structure includes four short double-helical elements and three loops (D, anti-codon, and T loops). Further hydrogen bonds mediate the characteristic L-shaped molecular structure. tRNAs have two regions of fundamental functional importance: the anti-codon, which is responsible for specific mRNA codon recognition, and the 3' end, to which the tRNAs corresponding amino acid is attached (by aminoacyl-tRNA synthetases). tRNAs cope with the degeneracy of the genetic code in two manners: having more than one tRNA (with a specific anti-codon) for a particular amino acid; and 'wobble' base-pairing, i.e. permitting non-standard base-pairing at the 3rd anti-codon position. The record is from RNAcentral. Lineage: Bacteria; Bacillati; Actinomycetota; Thermoleophilia.
GGGCGGUUAGCUCAGCUGGGAGAGCAUCCCGUUUACACCGGGAAGGUCGUGGGUUCGAGCCCCUCACCGCCCA